GAUGAACGCUGGCGGCGUGCCUAAUACAUGCAAGUCGAGCGAACAGACGAGGAGCUUGCUCCUCUGACGUUAGCGGCGGACGGGUGAGUAACACGUGGAUAACCUACCUAUAAUACUGGGAUAACUUCGGGAAACCGGAGCUAAUACCGGAUAAUAUAUUGAACCGCAUGGUUCAAUAGUGAAAGACGGUUUUGCUGUCACUUAUAGAUGGAUCCGCGCCGCAUUAGCUAGUUGGUAAGGUAACGGCUUACCAAGGCAACGAUGCGUAGCCGACCUGAGAGGGUGAUCGGCCACACUGGAGCUGAGACACGGUCAAGACUCCUACGGGAGGCAGCAGUAGGGAAUCUUCCGCAAUGGGCGAAAGCUUGACGGAGCAACGCCGAGUGAGUGAUGAAGGUCUUCGGAUCGUAAAACUCUGUUAUUAGGGAAGAACAAAUGUGUAAGUAACUAUGCACGUCUUGACGGUACCUAAUCAGAAAGCCACGGCUAACUACGUG
This 497-nucleotide ribosomal RNA is filed under the name uncultured bacterium. RNAcentral's name for it is "partial 16S ribosomal RNA". It matches the Rfam family "Bacterial small subunit ribosomal RNA", at positions 28 to 507 of the family's 1533-position model. The record is from RNAcentral.